AGACCCGAAACCCGGUGAUCUAGCCAUGGGCAGGUUGAAGGUUGGGUAACACUAACUGGAGGACCGAACCGACUAAUGUUGAAAAAUUAGCGGAUGACCUGUGGCUGGGGGUGAAAGGCCAAUCAAACCGGGAGAUAGCUGGUUCUCCCCGAAAGCUAUUUAGGUAGCGCCUCGUGAAUUCAUCUCCGGGGGUAGAGCACUGUUUCGGCCAGGGGGCCAUCCCGGCUUACCAAUCCGAUGCAAACUGCGAAUACCGGAGAAUGUUAUCACGGGAGACACACGGCGGGUGCUAACGUCCGUCGUGAAGAGGGAAACAACCCAGACCGCCAGCUAAGGUCCCAAAGUCAUGGUUAAGUGGGAAACGAUGUGGGAAGGCCCAGACAGCCAGGAUGUUGGCUUAGAAGCAGCCAUCAUUUAAAGAAAGCGUAAUAGCUCACUGGUCGAGUCGGCCUGCGCGGAAGAUGUAACGGGGCUAAACCAUGCACCGAAGCUGCGGCAGCGACACUGAUGUGUUGUUGGGUAGGGGAGCGUUCUGUAAGCCGUUGAAGGUGUGUCGUGAGGCAUGCUGGAGGUAUCAGAAGUGCGAAUGCUGACAUAAGUAACGAUAAAGCGGGUGAAAAGCCCGCUCGCCGGAAGACCAAGGGUUCCUGUCCAACGUUAAUCGGGGCAGGGUGAGUCGACCCCUAAGGCGAGGCCGAAAGGCGUAGUCGAUGGGAAACGGGUUAAUAUUCCCGUACUUGGUGUUACUGCGAAGGGGGGACGGAGAAGGCUAUGUUGGCCGGGCGACGGUUGUCCCGGUUUAAGCGUGUAGGUGUGUGUUCCAGGUAAAUCCGGUUCACUUUAACACUGAGGCGUGACGACGAGGCACUACGGUGCUGAAGCAACAAAUGCCCUGCUUCCAGGAAAAGCCUCUAAGCCUCAGGUAACAUCAAAUCGUACCCCAAACCGACACAGGUGGUCAGGUAGAGAAUACCAAGGCGCUUGAGAGAACUCGGGUGAAGGAACUAGGCAAAAUGGUGCCGUAACUUCGGGAGAAGGCACGCUGACACGUAGGUGAAGUGGUUUACCCAUGGAGCUGAAGUCAGUCGAAGAUACCAGCUGGCUGCAACUGUUUAUUAAAAACACAGCACUGUGCAAACACGAAAGUGGACGUAUACGGUGUGACGCCUGCCCGGUGCCGGAAGGUUAAUUGAUGGGGUCAGCGCAAGCGAAGCUCCUGAUCGAAGCCCCGGUAAACGGCGGCCGUAACUAUAACGGUCCUAAGGUAGCGAAAUUCCUUGUCGGGUAAGUUCCGACCUGCACGAAUGGCGUAAUGAUGGCCAGGCUGUCUCCACCCGGGACUCAGUGAAAUUGAACUCGCUGUGAAGAUGCAGUGUACCCGCGGCAAGACGGAAAGACCCCGUGAACCUUUACUAUAGCUUGACACUGAACACUGGUCCUUGAUGUGCAGGAUAGGUGGGAGGCUUUGAAGUGUGGACGCCAGUCUGCAUGGAGCCAUCCUUGAAAUACCACCCUUUAAUGGCUGGUGUUCUAACGUGGACCCGUAAUCCGGGUUGCGGACAGUGUCUGGUGGGUAGUUUGACUGGGGCGGUCUCCUCCUAAAGAGUAACGGAGGAGCACGAAGGUUGGCUAAUCCUGGUCGGACAUCAGGAGGUUAGUGCAAUGGCAUAAGCCAGCUUGACUGCGAGCGUGACGGCGCGAGCAGGUGCGAAAGCAGGUCAUAGUGAUCCGGUGGUUCUGAAUGGAAGGGCCAUCGCUCAACGGAUAAAAGGUACUCCGGGGAUAACAGGCUGAUACCGCCCAAGAGUUCAUAUCGACGGCGGUGUUUGGCACCUCGAUGUCGGCUCAUCACAUCCUGGGGCUGAAGUAGGUCCCAAGGGUAUGGCUGUUCGCCAUUUAAAGUGGUACGCGAGCUGGGUUUAGAACGUCGUGAGACAGUUCGGUCCCUAUCUGCCGUGGGCGCUGGAAGAUUGAGGGGGGCUGCUCCUAGUACGAGAGGACCGGAGUGGACGCAUCACUGGUGUUCGGGUUGUCAUGCCAAUGGCACUGCCCGGUAGCUACAUGCGGAAGAGAUAAGUGCUGAAAGCAUCUAAGCACGAAACUUGCCCCGAGAUGAAUCUUCCCUGAGCCUUUAAGGCUCCUGAAGGAACGUUGAAGACGACGACGUUGAUAGGCCGGGUGUGUAAGCGCAGCGAUGCGUUGAGCUAACCGGUACUAAUGAACCGUGAGGCUUAACCUUACAACGCCGAAG
RNAcentral lists this ribosomal RNA (2251 nucleotides) under Salmonella enterica. Its description in RNAcentral is "partial 23S ribosomal RNA". It matches the Rfam family "Bacterial large subunit ribosomal RNA", at positions 711 to 2925 of the family's 2925-position model. The record is from RNAcentral. RNAcentral also lists the same sequence under 2 other names. Lineage: Bacteria; Pseudomonadati; Pseudomonadota; Gammaproteobacteria; Enterobacterales; Enterobacteriaceae.